Molecule: ribosomal RNA, 253 nt
Filed under: uncultured Acidobacteriota bacterium
Lineage: Bacteria; Pseudomonadati; Acidobacteriota
Description: uncultured Acidobacteria bacterium partial 16S ribosomal RNA
Rfam family: Bacterial small subunit ribosomal RNA
Source: RNAcentral
UACAGAGGGGGCAAGCGUUGUUCGGAAUUAUUGGGCGUAAAGAGUGCGUAGGCGGUGCGGUAAGUCUUCUGUGAAAUCUCCGGGCUCAACUCGGAGCCUGCAGGAGAAACUGCCGUGCUUGAGUAUGGGAGAGGUGAGUGGAAUUCCUGGUGUAGCGGUGAAAUGCGUAGAUAUCAGGAGGAACACCUGUGGCGAAAGCGGCUCACUGGACCAUAACUGACGCUGAGGCACGAAAGCUAGGGGAGCAAACAGG